CACAGGAGCCCCGCCGGGAGGGCGCGGCCGCCGGCCCUGUGCGCCUCGGGGCUGCGCGCCCCGCAGAGUCUCGCUCGCAGCGCCCGCAGCUACGGUGCAGCAGCUCUGAACUCGCAGGUCCGGCUUCUCUCAAACAAUACCGAGGCUUUCAUCUCGCUCUACAUAACCUAUGGGACGUAAAUGCUUUUAAUUUAGGAUAGUGUCAUUUUUGCUUAUUUCACCAUUGAGGGUGCAAGUGCUGAAGCUGCAGAAAAGUAUCCUGACUUCUGCACCAGGAGUUCUCCCCAAGAACACCUCCUGUUUCACUCCACAUUGGUGUCAAAUAAACCAGUGUAUGUUGCAUGGACAGCUGUGACUGUGCUCCAGAGCCUUGUAGCAAAAUAGGAAGAGAGUUGAUCUGACAUCCUAUGAGUUUUCCCAUUGUCAGGAAUAUAUGCAGUGCUGCCUUGUGAAUGUGAGCUCGAGCUGCAGCUUUACUGUAGACAGACCAUGCAGAUGGUUUCUUCUUCCCUUCUCCUGGCAUCUGCUUCCACAAAAUUCAUAGAAAGACAAACCUAUUUAAGACUUUCAUUCCUCUUUCAGAUUUGUUUUUAUUAAUCAGUUGGGCCAAAAUUUAUGGAUGGA
Agelaius phoeniceus (red-winged blackbird) is the source of this 624-nucleotide non-coding RNA. NCBI's taxonomy places the organism in Eukaryota, Metazoa, Chordata, Aves, Passeriformes, Icteridae. The record is from RefSeq and is a predicted model, not a curated record.